Molecule: ribosomal RNA, 492 nt
Filed under: uncultured Sphingobacteriales bacterium
Lineage: Bacteria; Pseudomonadati; Bacteroidota; Sphingobacteriia; Sphingobacteriales
Description: bacterial SSU rRNA
Rfam family: Bacterial small subunit ribosomal RNA
Source: RNAcentral
CGCCCGCUCAGAAACUCAAAGGAAUUGACGGGGCCCGCACAAGCGGUGGAGCAUGUGGUUUAAUUCGAUGAUACGCGAGGAACCUUACCUGGGCUCAAAUGUAUGUUGACGUAUUCUGAAAGGGAUACUUCUUCGGACAAUAUACAAGGUGCUGCAUGGUUGUCGUCAGCUCGUGCCGUGAGGUGUCGGGUUAAGUCCCAUAACGAGCGCAACCCCUAUCAUUAGUUGCCAUCAGGUCAAGCUGGGGACUCUAAUGAAACUGCCUACGCAAGUAGUGAGGAAGUGGGGAUGACGUCAAAUCAGCACGGCCCUUACGUCCAGGGCUACACACGUGCUACAAUGGCCGAUACAGAGGGCAGCUACCUGGUGACAGGAUGCAAAUCUCCAAAGUCGGUCUCAGUUCGGAUCGGAGUCUGCAACCCGACUCCGUGAAGUUGGAUUCGCUAGUAAUCGCGCAUCAGCCAUGGCGCGGUGAAUACGUUCCCGGGCCUU